GACCUGAUGCGGCGGGGGCAGGCGUGCGAUGAGGGCAGUUGCCUGGUUUGCUCUGCCAUGCCUGAGCCUCUGGCAGGUGGGAAUGGGCUCUGCAAAGGCAGAGGGUGUGUUGAGCCUCUGGGAGACUGGAUAUGGUGGCUGUAGCUGGCAGUGAUGAAUUGCGUGAUGAGGGCAGUUGCCUGGUUUGCUCCACCAUGCCUGAACCUCUAGUGAGUAAGAAUGGGCUCUGCAGAGGGUGUGAUGAGCCUCUGGGAGACAGGAUAUGGUGGCUGUAGCUGACAGUGAUGAAUUGCAUGAUGAGGGCAGUUGCCUGGCUUGCUCCAUCAUAUGAGCCCCUCUGGCAGGGGAGAAUGGUUGAGAUUUGUCAGAAGUUGUCCUGGGACCUGCUGUGAUUUCAGUGUACUAGCAGAAAGCUGUCUUCUGCUAAUGAUGUCCCUCUCCAUGCUGCUGCCUGUGAUUCCUUGUCCAAGCUACAGCAUUCACAUCACCCUGCAACAGCUCUGGUCUUUUCUCAGAGCUAGCAGGAGUGAUGAAUUGGUGUCCUGCCAACUUACAGACAGAGGAUGUUAUAUUUUUCUUUCCUUUGUUAUGAGGCAUUUAACUGUAAUGGAUUCUGGAACUUGCUGCAUGUUUAAUUGGAUGCUUUUGUCUGCAAGGGCUGCACUUGCCACCUGACAGCUAAUGUAAUCCUACCACAAUUAUUAAAAGUAAGGAAGUCUCUCCUCAGAGAGCAGUUGUCAAGUAUGGGAGGAUGGCCUUCUGUGUAAGGAGGGGCAGGGGGAGUUUUGAAGUCUUGACUCUACCCUGGCAUCCAGAAAGCUUUAGUAACGUAUCAUUGGGAGCCUGUAAAGUGGGGAAGGGGCAUCUUGUGUGCUGCAGUGCUGUCUGCCUUUCUGUACUGUUCAGAGACUAUUUGUAAUAAAAUCUG
Gavia stellata (red-throated loon) is the source of this 928-nucleotide long non-coding RNA. RefSeq lists it as uncharacterized. The transcript has 4 exons. NCBI's taxonomy places the organism in Eukaryota, Metazoa, Chordata, Aves, Gaviiformes, Gaviidae. The record is from RefSeq and is a predicted model, not a curated record.